AUUGAACGCUGGCGGCAGGCUUAACACAUGCAAGUCGAGCGAGCGGCGGAAGGGUGAGGAAGGUCUGGGAAACUGCCUGAAGGAGGGGGAUAACUAAUGGAAACGGUAGCUAAUACCGCAUACCAUAAGAUGUGCCCAGAGGGGAUUAGCUAGGAGGUGGUGUAAUGGCUCACCUAGGCGACGAACCCUAGCUGGUCUGAGAGGAUGACCCGCCACACAUGAACGUAGACACGGUCCAGACUCCUACGGUCGGCAGCAGGGGUGAUUAUUGCCCAAUGGGCGCAAGCCGGAUGCAGCCAUGCCGCGUGUGUGAAGAAGGCCUUCGGGUUGUAAAGCACUUUCAGCGAGGAGGCGUUACUCGCAGAGGAAGCACCGUCUAACUCCGUGCCAGCCGCCGCGGUAAUUC
RNAcentral lists this ribosomal RNA (406 nucleotides) under uncultured bacterium. RNAcentral describes it as "partial 16S ribosomal RNA". It matches the Rfam family "Bacterial small subunit ribosomal RNA", at positions 30 to 526 of the family's 1533-position model. The record is from RNAcentral.